RNAcentral lists this ribosomal RNA (908 nucleotides) under Stromatinia smilacinae. Its description in RNAcentral is "LSU rRNA". It matches the Rfam family "Eukaryotic large subunit ribosomal RNA", at positions 38 to 963 of the family's 3401-position model. Lineage: Eukaryota; Fungi; Ascomycota; Leotiomycetes; Helotiales; Sclerotiniaceae. The record is from RNAcentral.
GCAUAUCAAUAAGCGGAGGAAAAGAAACCAACAGGGAUUGCCUCAGUAACGGCGAGUGAAGCGGCAACAGCUCAAAUUUGAAAUCUGGUCCUUUCAGGGCCCGAGUUGUAAUUUGUAGAAGAUGCUUCGAGCGUGGCACCGGUCUAAGUUCCUUGGAACAGGACGUCAUAGAGGGUGAGAAUCCCGUAUGCGACUGGCCGCCUUUGUUCAUGUGAAGCUCUUUCGACGAGUCGAGUUGUUUGGGAAUGCAGCUCAAAAUGGGUGGUAUAUUUCAUCUAAAGCUAAAUAUUGGCCAGAGACCGAUAGCGCACAAGUAGAGUGAUCGAAAGAUGAAAAGCACUUUGGAAAGAGAGUUAAACAGUACGUGAAAUUGUUGAAAGGGAAGCGCUUGCAACCAGACUUGCACGUUGCUGAUCAUCUGGGGUUCUCCCUAGUGCACUCGGUAACGUUCAGGCCAGCAUCGGUUUGGGUGGUUGGAUAAAGGCCUUGGGAAUGUAGCUCCUCUCGGGGAGUGUUAUAGCCCUCGGUGCAAUGCAGCCUACCCGGACCGAGGACCGCGCUUCGGCUAGGAUGCUGGCGUAAUGGUUGUAAGCGACCCGUCUUGAAACACGGACCAAGGAGUCUAACAUCUAUGCGAGUGUUUGGGUGUCAAACCCAUACGCGUAAUUAACGUGAACGGAGGUAAGAACCCUUAAGGGUGCAUUAUCGACCGAUCCUGAUGUCUUCGGAUGGAUUUGAGUAAGAGCAUAGCUGUUGGGACCCGAAAGAUGGUGAACUAUGCCUGAAUAGGGUGAAGCCAGAGGAAACUCUGGUGGAGGCUCGCAGCGGUUCUGACGUGCAAAUCGAUCGUCAAAUUUGGGUAUAGGGGCGAAAGACUAAUCGAACCAUCUAGUAGCUGGUUCCUGCGA